GGAGAGAGUAAUCAAAACAUUUGAAACCAGAUUGUUAUUCAUUCUUUACUCCCGCCUUGCUUCAAGAAUUCUAUCUGGAAAUGAUAGUAAAAGAAAGGAUUAUACAAUGAAUUUUGAUCAGGUAGCAAAGAAUCUCUUUUCAGAGCUGAAAGUCUGAAGUGUCCAUCAACAUACAUACCUCACCUGUACCAUCAAUUAUUCCAUUUUCUUAUCUUAGUGGCACGCAAAGGUACCAUAAAAUUAUUGUACUUUUGUGUUUUCUUCUAUUACGUUUGUGGUUGCCUAUGCAUGCCAUAACUUGUUUUUGUUGUGUAAGUAUUUAAAUUAAUUCGGCAAAUCUUCCCUUC
Long non-coding RNA from Panicum virgatum (switchgrass), 347 nucleotides. RefSeq lists it as uncharacterized. NCBI's taxonomy places the organism in Eukaryota, Viridiplantae, Streptophyta, Magnoliopsida, Poales, Poaceae. The record is from RefSeq and is a predicted model, not a curated record. The transcript is spliced from 2 exons.